AACAUACUAAACACAUAGCCCUGUCAGCUGUAAAUAGCUUGUUUGUAUACAUGAGACAGUUCAGUUUAGUUACCCUUUAAAAGGUAUGUCACUUUCCCUGAGUCACUGUUACAGGCUGUAGCCAGAGUGUAAUCAGCUGAGCUUGUUCCACCUGCUCUUUAGACAGAGGUUGUAACAUCCUGUUGCAGCUUGGUGUAAAUGGAAGUCCCCAGAGGCCUCUCAGCAGAUGACAUGCCACCAUCACUCAUAGGCAGGUUCAGGAAACCCUGAUUCCUCAUCAGCCAUCUUGUGCUGUUGAGAUUGCGACAAUCUUCCCAAGUGGAGUUAGAUGCGUAGAUGUUUCCUGAAAUAGCCCACAUUCCUGGCAUUCCUCCUUUCAGACAGAGGCAGAUGUAGGCUCUGAUCUCCCUUUGAACGCCAAGCCUCUCUGCUUUCCCCAGGCUCCUCAUGCUUUAUUAGUUGUUAACAACAUAAGCCCUCGGCCUGCAUGCUGGCUGCAACGUCCCUCAGAGUUGGUAUAGUUCGCCUCAGAUGUUCUAAGUGGUUGAUUUAAAAAGAAAUGUUUCCCAGUAAAAUACACGAUAAAAAUGCAUGAUUACAUUUGUCUGUGUAAGUCUGCGUCCUCCAAAACCUAAAUAUGUUGCAUUGGUAAACAGUGUGUAUCACAAAUGAUAGUCUAAGCGGUAAAAACUGUGUGGGAUGCUACUGCUGUGGAGAAACAGCAGCCAAGGAGAGAAUAACAUGUUCUCACUGCUAGUGUUCUGCUGAAUCCAGUCUUAGAUUCACCAGUAUGCUAAUCUAAUUGCGUUUAGAAAAAACAACAACCAUGACCCACUCCCUCCUUUCCUCCCACUCCCCCACUGCUGGUGCUCCAUUGAUGCUGUAUUGACUCCUCUGUGCUGACCUUGUUAAUAUGCGCUGGGUUACUUUCUCAUAAAUAUUUCAACUCAAUGUUUUCAGGCUUCUGAAAACAACCUGUCAGUAGAAAGCCUGUUUCAUCCUGCGUUGUGCAGGCGUUGCGCUGUGCUGCUUUUGUAGCCCCGACCUCCUACAUGACAGGAUUGGCCCAGCCGAGGCCUCACCCUCCUUCGCCUGACAAGGUUAAUUGUUCUCUAUUGUUUGGCCUGUCCUUCCCGAACUUUGAGAGGUGUCAAACCAGCACAGCUACCUGCACCAUAACACCUUCCUAAAGUGUUUUUUUAAAGAUAACUUUGGAUCUAAAUGUUGUUGCAGGAUUUUAUUAGCAUAACUAAUUUUGCAAUUAAUACUUCCCCUGGAUGUACUGUAAUAAGGAAGCUCACGCUGUGUUAUGGUGAAUAUCAGCCUGCUGUCUCCAGAGCCACAGCCCAGUCUGAGCAGCCAUUCUGGGGAUAGAGUUACACUAAUCUCACAGGCCUCUCCCAGACCACUGACAUAGACAACCACUCCUCAAAAAGGACACUGUAUUCCUAUUUUAUUGUAAUUAAUGACACUCCCUUGCAUUUUUGAUAUUUGAGGUGUGUUGUGAUUACUUAUGUUUCAUUGAGUAAGCAUGUUGUGUUUAUGUGCAAGCCCGACCGGCAUUACUACAAGCUUAGUGUAGUGGCUGCAGUGUAAACACAUCUGACCGUUUUGGUUCGUACAUACCUGACGCCUUUUACUCUGAUUUUCUUACAGCCUUGUCUCACUUAUUUUAACACUUUAAAACUAAACGGAGAAAGUAAAGGUAUCCUUACUUUACUGAAUGAUUAGUUUUCCUGCCAGUGUAGUGUAACUCAGUAUAUCAACACUGAGAAAUAAAGACAUGCCUAAAAAUGUUUUCAACUUAGGGGCCUGUAAAUGCUUUUUUUUUGUAAAUGACAAAUAAUGAUUUUUGUUUUUACAUAACUGUUUGACAUGUCUUUAAUUAAGUUAAGUUAAAUUGUGCUCAUAUUAGAAUAUAAUCUCAGAGACAAACAAUAGAUAGAUAGAAUAUACCAUCAUUUGGCUUUGUAAACCAGUACUUUCCAUAAAGAACAGGAAGUCUUACUGUACAAACUAUAAAAACACAUGACAGUAAAAAUGCAUUUAGUUUUAGUCUUCAGAAGUGACAGCUGUUUUUAAAUAGUCAGAAUUGAUGGAAAAACAUUUAUUUUUAGAUUACUUUCAGCAGCACAUCAUAUCUCAACAUCAGUCCCCGAUUGACUGAUGCUGUUAACUCUUCCCUACAAAUAAUAUAUUCUAUGUAUAAUUCAUAACGCACAUUUAAAUGUACUCAAAAUAGAAACAUUCAAUGAAUCCUAAGUAAUUAAUGAGAUUUGCUGAGUGGUACGAGUGCAGAUAGACACAAAAAGACAUUAAUUCUAUACAUCUGUUCUAAGGAGUCAAAUCAAUAUCAAUCGCCUUCUUAAAUGGCUUUUGAUCAUCUCUGACACUAGAUCGCACCUUUGGGACUCAAAAAUCAAGUGUCACAUCUUCUAAAGGUCCUGACACACCAAGCCAACUGCCAGGAACUAGUGGGCUGACGUGAGGCGAUGCCACAAUCUUCCUUCGUCGCCUUUGUCUUGGCCAAAAAUUAGCACUGGAACACACUGCAAAGACUACAGCCGAUGGCCAAAUACCGCGUACG
Long non-coding RNA from Etheostoma spectabile (orangethroat darter), 2587 nucleotides. RefSeq lists it as uncharacterized. The transcript is spliced from 2 exons. The record is from RefSeq and is a predicted model, not a curated record. NCBI's taxonomy places the organism in Eukaryota, Metazoa, Chordata, Actinopteri, Perciformes, Percidae.